GUGGACAGGAAGGAUAUGCUAUCAUUUUGUGCCAAUUUGUAGACAGACAUGGAAGGGAGCAUUUUCUGAUGUAAAAAGGUUAAUGCCAACAAUGCAGGUGAAGGAAGGUAUAGAAGUUUGAUGAAGCAAAUGGAUGGAAAGAGUGAAAAAAAGAAAUUGGAGAGGAAGGUGAAAGAGAGAGCAAACUCCUAAAAGACGGCAUGUCACAGAUUUCUGACCAUGGGGUAUAAUUGUAAAUGUGCUGAGGACCAAGAGGACCUUUGGUUUUACAUAUGAAACAGACAGAUGUAGCUGAUGCUGCUACCCUUUCCUUCACUUUUUCCUGCCUUGAAUAUGGCUAUGAGGUCAGGAGUUUCAGCAGCCAUUUUAUGACCAUGAGAUGACAAGUGUGAGGAUUAAAAGCAACCCACUAACCAUGGAUAGAGGAAAAACAGAAUAAACCCGGGUCUCCAUUGGCAUCGGUGGACAGCUGAACGAAGUGCUCUGUGUACAGGACCCAGUGCAAUGGCCCCAAGACAGAAAUGAACUUGGCUUGUUCCAGAAGCAACAAAGGGACAGUUGGCUUGAAUGUGGUAAGGCACAGUGAAAGUGGAAGGAGAUGAUGUCUGAAAGGUAAGUGGAGACAGGAUGAGAUAAGGCUGGGUAGGCCACUGUAAUAAGUUAGGGUGUUGGCAUUAUAAUGAGUUAGGGUGUUACUCUACUUGGGAAGGAAAACAAUUGGAAAGUUUUCAAGAGGAAUGGAAGAUAAGAGCUAAUUUCCAUAUUUAAAAGAUCACUCUGCUGCUCUCUGGAAAAUUGAUCACAAGGGCCAGAGGAGAGGCAGGGAAAAGAUAGGGAGUAUAUUGCUGUAGUUCAGUCAAGAAGUCACUGUCAGAGGAGACUUGACCAGAAGCUUUACAGAGAGUAGUAGAGAACUGUUGGGAAUUGGGAUGUAUUUUGAAGUCAGAGUUGGUAGUUUUUACUGAUGGGUUGGGUGUGGAUAAAGAAAGAGCAGAAUCCCAAAUAAGUCUUAGAUUUUUGACUUCAGCAUUAACAAUGAAACUAGGUAAAUGGAAAACAUUAAGACUGAGUUGGAGGCAAACAAAUUUUUCCUCUCUUGGCUAUGUUAAAUUCCUCUCUUCUGCUCUAUUAGGUUCCAGCCUGACUUUCUCCUCUUUGCAUAGACUUAGUAACACCAUUCCCUUGAAAUAUCUCCCUCCCUCACCCUACCAAGAUGGUCAGCUCUUUUGUAUUAGAUUUGGGGGAAGUCUUGACCUCAUGGACUGACAUUGACAGGUAGCUCAUGGUGGCUGGCAGACAGGUGAGGGCAAGCAGCAGGGGUGUUUGAGAUAUUAAAGAGGACUGUAGGGUGUUAAAAUUUAAGGUAUUUUAAGGUUUAGGCUUGGAGGAUGGGAUUGCAAUGGAUAGACCUCUGGACAUCAAGAGAGGAGAAGUAGAUAUAUUUGACAACAAUCUGAGAUCAAAACAAGAAAUUUUCACCAUAAUAUUUUACAUGAGUUAGAGAUAUACUGUGUGGAAAGUCCUGUAUUCCUGCUCUACAAAGAAACAUAUUGUGUAGAGUCAGUCUGGUUGCCAGAUCAUUGAUCAAGAAAUCCACAUAAAAAUCUGAACUUUAAAAAUGCUCUGAGCUUUCAGAAGUUUGUGCCAAUUUAAUUAUUUCACUAAUAUUCUUUUAUGUUAGCAUCCAUAUAUCAGUAAGAAACCUUAUUUACAGAAUUCACCAGCAGGCUUUAAAUGGGAAGCAAUUAAAGGUUGAGCCCACUUACAGAAAUGGAACGUUCAUGUAACUUUUGAGGAUCACAUCCAUUACGUUAAAUAAAAUACAACUGUGUGAAGGGAGUUGUGUUGUUUCGUGAGGAAUUUUGGACCAAUAUUUCCUGAUUUGUUUAGAGAUUUGUGGAGGAGAAAUGAAUGGCAGUUGUCCUUCUCAUUCUCAGGGUUGAGUUGUCUUCCCAAGAAAAGAAUUUUGCAAAAAAUAUGCUUUUUAAAACCCAAAAUUGCCUUUUUCAUCUUGAAAAGGAAGCAUCAUAGGAGUUAAGAAAAUUUACCAUGGUUGAAAAUCUACUUCAUUUUCUUUGCAGAUUAUUUUGAAACUGCUUUAAGAAAUGCGUAUGUCCUCUCUAAAUACAUGGUGGAGAUGGUUCAUUGAGUGUUAUGAAAAGAAAGUUUAGUCUCAUUUCCUAAGCAGACUUUUUAACCUGACAGUGCUAAAUGGGGAAGAAUUCUUCGGGAUUAUGGUGUGUGUUUUGAAAGAGAUCCUGUAACAGCUGGUUAUUUUCAGUCAUGUUCCCACUGCAGGAAGAUACUGCUGUUGUAUGAAGUAGGCCGAUAGAACCUUGGUAUCCAUGCAACAUUAGAAAGAAAAAAAUUUCCUUUUAUUUAAAACAUUUUUUUAAUGUUUAUCUGUUUU
This is a long non-coding RNA of Prionailurus viverrinus (fishing cat), 2410 nucleotides long. RefSeq lists it as uncharacterized. NCBI's taxonomy places the organism in Eukaryota, Metazoa, Chordata, Mammalia, Carnivora, Felidae. The transcript is spliced from 4 exons. The record is from RefSeq and is a predicted model, not a curated record.